Molecule: ribosomal RNA, 435 nt
Filed under: uncultured soil bacterium
Lineage: Bacteria
Description: bacterial SSU rRNA
Rfam family: Bacterial small subunit ribosomal RNA
Source: RNAcentral
AGAACGAACGCUGGCGGCAUGCCUAACACAUGCAAGUCGAACGAGACCUUCGGGUCUAGUGGCGCACGGGUGCGUAACGCGUGGGAAUCUGCCCUUAGGUACGGGAUAACCCAGGGAAACUUGGGCUAAUACCGUAUGAUGACGUAAGUCCAAAGAUUUAUCGCCUAAGGGAUGAGCCCGCGUAGGAUUAGCUUGUUGGUGAGGUAAAAGGCUCACCAAAGGCGACGAUCCUAGACGUGUCGUCGAGGAGGAGUAGAGUACACGACCGACCAACCUAGGGUUACGGUACAGGAACGAACCGGACCCGACCGAAACUCCCUAACGGGGAGGCCAGGCCAGUGGGGGAAAUAUUGGACAAUGGGCGAAAGCCUGAUCCAGCCAAUGCCGCGUGAGUGAUGAAGGCCCUAGGUUGUAAAAGCUCGUUUUUACCGGAAG